This 127-nucleotide small RNA is filed under the name Marmota monax (woodchuck). The record is from RNAcentral. Lineage: Eukaryota; Metazoa; Chordata; Mammalia; Rodentia; Sciuridae.
GCUGGGUGCGGUGGCGCACACCCGUAAUCCCAGCAGCCUGGGAGGCGGAGGCAGGAGGAUGGAGAGUUCAAAGCCAGCCUCAGCAACUUAGCAAGGCCCUGAGCAAUUUAGCAAGACCCUGUCUCAA